CCCCAGACUCCUACGGGAGGCAGCAGUAGGGAAUUUUGCGCAAUGGGGGAAACCCUGACGCAGCAACGCCGCGUGAUUGAUGAAGCCCUUCGGGGUGUAAAGAUCUUUCAGUGGGGACGAAACUUGACGGUACCCACAGAGGAAGCAUCGGCUAACUCCGUGCCAGCAGCCGCGGUAAUACGGAGGAUGCGAGCGUUAUCCGGAUUUAUUGGGUUUAAAGGGUGCGCAGGCGGAGGUGCAAGUCAGCGGUCAAAUUGCGGGGCUCAACCCCGUACUGCCGUUGAAACUGCAUCCCUUGAGUGCGCGAGAAGUAUGCGGAAUGCGUGGUGUAGCGGUGAAAUGCAUAGAUAUCACGCAGAACUCCGAUUGCGAAGGCAGCAUACCGGCGCGCAACUGACGCUCAUGCACGAAAGCGUGGGUAUCGAACAGGAUUAGAUACCCGAGUA
This 446-nucleotide ribosomal RNA is filed under the name uncultured bacterium. RNAcentral describes it as "bacterial SSU rRNA". It matches the Rfam family "Bacterial small subunit ribosomal RNA", at positions 329 to 792 of the family's 1533-position model. The record is from RNAcentral.